AAUUAGGAAUAAUCCUUUAUUACUUAACUAUUAUUUGUAAAAGUUUCAAGAGUAUUAGAUUGAUACAACAUGAUUAAAAGAAAUAAAACCAAUAUAACGCCCCUUCAAAAGGAAAAGGCACACUGAACGUUAGUGACGCUCAAACUAACCGACCUACAAGGGAACACGUUGCACCAGCCCGCCACGAUUUUUAACCCUUAAUCAUCGAGUAAAAAUUUUAAAAAUAUAUAUAUAUGAAAUACAGCAGCAGUAGUGUAUUCAAAUAUCUUAAACAAUUUCUAAGGAAAAAGAUAGUAAAGUUUUGGGUUGUUCCCCUCAUAUCUCCUUUACCAGGGAGGGGGAUAGGGGGUUGAAAUUGCUCACAGUUGUUCUUUAGGCAAAAAGCAUUAUGUGUUAUAAAUAUUAACCGAAAUUGUUGCCGAGGCCGAUUCACUAUGCUUACACGGUUAGACUCUUUAAUAAAAUUUUGUAUUUUUAAACGAAAAUUUAAUGAAAUGAAAACAUUACUUCCAAUUAUUUUAUUUACCCACAUCAUAGUUUUUAUGAAGAAAGAACAUACUGUAUGCAAAACGUAUAUUACCUGAAUUUAUUAACUUCAGACUUCGACGCUAUGUCUAUAAAUAUUUUCAGAUCUUGAUUUGUUGUUAAGAUUAGUCAGCUUUAUGAUUUUAAAAUGCUUUAUCUGAUAAUACAAUAACUUUUCCAUCAUUAAGGAGCCACCUGGAUACCAGGAGAGAUGCAACAACAGUACUUUAUAGUAGGUAUAUUAGAUAAAAAGUCCCCUUUGAUCUAAGAACAUAAAAAAAAUGUUGCUGUCCCUAUUAGUUCCUAAGGAAAGAACUCGUAACAGUUUAUAUGGACUACCCUGUUUGGAGGCGAAUUCAAUAAGUCGUUAUUGUAAAGGCAAGGUUUUCCUGAUAUCAAGACAGCUGAAAAGUAUACAGCUACUUUAAUCUGAAAAUUUUAAUAAGCAAAUUCUCGAUUUGUACGUACUUUCUAUACGUUUUAGU
Molecule: non-coding RNA, 1010 nt
Organism: Osmia lignaria (orchard mason bee)
Lineage: Eukaryota; Metazoa; Arthropoda; Insecta; Hymenoptera; Megachilidae
Source: RefSeq, a predicted model, not a curated record